UACGGGGGGGGCAAGCGUUGUUCGGAAUUACUGGGCGUAAAGGGCUCGUAGGCGGCCAACUAAGUCAUACGUGAAAUCCCUCGGCUUAACCGGGGAACUGCGUCUGAUACUGGAUGGCUUGAGAUUGGGAGAGGGAUGCGGAAUUCCAGGUGUAGCGGUGAAAUGCGUAGAUAUCUGGAGGAACACCGGUGGCGAAGGCGGCAUCCUGGACCAACACUGACGCUGAGGAGCGAAAGCGUGGGUAGCAAACAGG
RNAcentral lists this ribosomal RNA (253 nucleotides) under uncultured bacterium. Its description in RNAcentral is "partial 16S ribosomal RNA". It matches the Rfam family "Bacterial small subunit ribosomal RNA", at positions 524 to 776 of the family's 1533-position model. The record is from RNAcentral.